GCUGAUAUGGCUCAAUGGUAGAGCAGCUGAUUUGUAAUCAGCAGGUUGUAGGUUCAAGUCCUAUUAUCAGCUCCA
Molecule: transfer RNA, 75 nt
Filed under: Caudoviricetes sp.
Lineage: Duplodnaviria; Heunggongvirae; Uroviricota; Caudoviricetes
Description: tRNA-Thr
Rfam family: tRNA
About the family: Transfer RNA (tRNA) molecules are approximately 80 nucleotides in length. Their secondary structure includes four short double-helical elements and three loops (D, anti-codon, and T loops). Further hydrogen bonds mediate the characteristic L-shaped molecular structure. tRNAs have two regions of fundamental functional importance: the anti-codon, which is responsible for specific mRNA codon recognition, and the 3' end, to which the tRNAs corresponding amino acid is attached (by aminoacyl-tRNA synthetases). tRNAs cope with the degeneracy of the genetic code in two manners: having more than one tRNA (with a specific anti-codon) for a particular amino acid; and 'wobble' base-pairing, i.e. permitting non-standard base-pairing at the 3rd anti-codon position.
Source: RNAcentral